Small nuclear RNA from Lontra canadensis (Northern American river otter), 137 nucleotides. RefSeq annotates it as U4 spliceosomal RNA. Lineage: Eukaryota; Metazoa; Chordata; Mammalia; Carnivora; Mustelidae. The record is from RefSeq and is a predicted model, not a curated record. The transcript has a single exon.
AGCUUUGUGCAGUGGCAGUAUCGUACCCAAUGAGGUUUAUCCGAGGCACGAUUAUUGCUAAUAGAGUGCUUCCCUUAAAUGUAAAUGGACUAAAUUCUCCAAUAAAAAUGCAGAGUAGCUGAAUGGAUUAAAAAAAC